Molecule: ribosomal RNA, 449 nt
Filed under: uncultured bacterium
Lineage: Bacteria
Description: partial 16S ribosomal RNA
Rfam family: Bacterial small subunit ribosomal RNA
Source: RNAcentral
AACGAACGCUGGCGGCAUGCCUAACACAUGCAAGUCGAACGAGAUCUUCGGGUCUAGUGGCGCACGGGUGCGUAACGCGUGGGAAUCUGCCCUUUGGUUCGGAAUAACAGUUGGAAACGACUGCUAAUACCGGAUGAUGACGAAAGUCCAAAGAUUUAUCGCCAGAGGAUGAGCCCGCGUAGGAUUAGCUAGUUGGUGUGGUAAAGGCGCACCAAGGCGACGAUCCUUAGCUGGUCUGAGCGGAUGAUCAGCCACACUGGGACUGAGACACGGCCCAGACUCCUACGUGAGGCAGCAGUGGGGAAUAUUGGACAAUGGGCGAAAGCCUGAUCCAGCAAUGCCGCGUGAGUGAUGAAGGCCUUAGGGUUGUAAAGCUCUUUUACCCGGGAUGAUAAUGACAGUACCGGGAGAAUAAGCUCCGGCUAACUCCGUGCCAGCAGCCGCCGCAG